RNAcentral lists this unclassified non-coding RNA (543 nucleotides) under Hevea brasiliensis (rubber tree). Lineage: Eukaryota; Viridiplantae; Streptophyta; Magnoliopsida; Malpighiales; Euphorbiaceae. The record is from RNAcentral.
GGAGGAGGAGGAGGAGGAGGCGAUGGGCUUACAAACGCGGAUGAUGCCAGGACAUUUUGUGAUUGUGAAUCAACAAAAAAAGCACAGAAAUUGCAUACAAGCCCUAAAAUCACAAAGAUCAGGGUAGAGAACUGCGUUUCCAUGAAAUAAGAAAUUCAAAAGAAAAUAGCGGUUUGAUAAGAUGAUUCAAGAGGUUCUUGCAUGUGGGUACGAACCCAAAUUCUUGAAUUCCUUUCACUCUGCUUUAAAUUCAAGAAUUUGGGUUCUCAAGAUUAGAAAACAGAGAACUAGGGUUUGAUCGCAAGAAUCCCUCGCCGUAGACAAAAAUCAAGGAAAUGGGUCUAGUGGGUUCUUCCAAAUCCUCGUUUUCUGGAUUUGGUACCAGCACUCUAGGUUUUGGGCAUUUGGCAUAAGGAGCAAAUUUUCUUUUCCUUGUGGGCAAUCGAGGAAAUGAAUGAAAUGGGUAGGUCCCCAAAAUGAUUAAGAUGGGACACAAAAUCUGAGGAAUCUUGAUUUUUCAUUCAGAGAUGCAAAGAAUCCUCG